RNAcentral lists this ribosomal RNA (250 nucleotides) under uncultured bacterium. Its description in RNAcentral is "partial 16S ribosomal RNA". It matches the Rfam family "Bacterial small subunit ribosomal RNA", at positions 524 to 773 of the family's 1533-position model. The record is from RNAcentral.
AACGUAGGAUCCGAGCGUUAUCCGAAUUCACUGGGCGUAAAGCGCGUGCAGGCGGCUUGUUAAGUUGGAUGUGAAAUCUCCCGGCUCAACUGGGAGAGGUCGUUCAAAACUGGCAGGCUUGAGGACGGUAGAGGAAGGUGGAAUUCCCGGUGUAGUGGUGAAAUGCGUAGAUAUCGGGAGGAACACCCGUGGCGAAGGCGGCCUUCUGGACCGUUCCUGACGCUCAGACGCGAAAGCUAGGGGAGCGAAC